ACGCGAAUUGCACCUUCUUGGCUCAGGAUCCUUGCAAAUGGUAUUUGGCACUACGUCCCAAGGCUACCUUAAUCGAAACGGUGCAAUGUAUUUCUGUCCCCCUCAGACUCCCAUGAUUUUUCCCUACUUGAAAGAAAGAAAGUGUAAUACCUAACGAAUCGAGUUUCUCAGGCUUUCCGGCUACCACAUCUUUUAGCUGGCACCGUUCAAGGCUCUGCAAAAAAAAACAGAAAAGAAAAAGCAACCGCAAAUGAUUUCAUUGAAUGUGGCAUUUCUGUACAAAAAGAGAAUUCCUCUUCAUUCUAAAACUAGCUUACUCCACACAAGCUAACAAGGCAUGUCAUGUUAUUGUUGUUUGUAAAUGGAGUUGCAAGUAUGUUCAGUUGAUGACAAACACGAGCAUUUGGAUGUAGAAUUGAAGUGGAUUGAAAUGACAUGUCUGAUAAAUGGACAUAUCCAAGUUGCAUUUUUUUAUAU
This is a long non-coding RNA of Magnolia sinica, 477 nucleotides long. RefSeq lists it as uncharacterized. Lineage: Eukaryota; Viridiplantae; Streptophyta; Magnoliopsida; Magnoliales; Magnoliaceae. The transcript has 2 exons. The record is from RefSeq and is a predicted model, not a curated record.